This 221-nucleotide small RNA is filed under the name Arabidopsis thaliana (thale cress). RNAcentral describes it as "ATSL260210". Lineage: Eukaryota; Viridiplantae; Streptophyta; Magnoliopsida; Brassicales; Brassicaceae. The record is from RNAcentral.
AGAUUUUUGCAUAUAUGGAUAUAUAUUAGAGACAAUAGAUGUAUAUUAUAGACAAAUCUUGUUUUAUAGUAAAUAACCAAUCGUAAAAUAACGCGUGACUAAAUAAGUUAGCCAGUGUAAAAAUUGAUACAAAUCGAUAAAUUAAUAAGAUAAUAAUUAUUUUGAAAAUUCUAUGUAAAUAUAUGGUCCCAUCAAUAUUAUAAAUUAAUAAUUGUAUAAAU